AUGCGCACCACCUCCAUGGGCACCUCGGUCGCCGUCACCGUCGCCUUCGCGGUCGUCCUCUUCCUUGCGCGGGCAACCCAUGCCGAGAUCAGGACAACGCUCAUCGUGUCGGACGCGCGGCCCCUGAUCCUCUUCGAGCAGUUUGGCUUCGCGCGAGGCGGCAAGGCUGCCCUCUCCAUCCGCCGCUCGGCAUGGAACCUCCGGCCGGGGUCACGCCUCGCCGGAGUCGACCCCACCCUCAUGGGAUUCGUCCUCAUCUCGGGAGCGCAGUUCCCGAAGAUCAACAACGCGUCCCAGUACGCCGCCGCCGACCCAGGAGGCGGCAGCUUCUGCGUACUCACGAGCGGGUUCGCCGUCCCGAUGAUCCGGCUCAGCGACGUGCCGCCUGGAGGCGCCACCAGCAUCCUGAGCAUCGACGACCCCGACGAGUACGCGGUGGUGUUCGACAACUGCCAGGAGGGCGCGGAGGUGACCAUGGACGUGCGCACCGAGAUGUACAACGUGCGGGGCGGCGUCCCCGACGGGCUGAGGGACUACCUCCCCGUGGGGCUCCAGCCGCUGCCCAACAUCUACACCGUGGUGUCGGUGGUGUACUUCGUGUUCCUGGCGGUGUGGGUGUGGACGUGCCUGCGGAAGCGCGCGGCGGCGGAGCGGAUCCACGUGGUGAUGGGCGCGCUGCUGCUGUUCAAGGCGCUCAAGAUGGCGUGCGCGGCGGAGGACACGUGGUACGUGGAGUCCACGGGCACGCCGCACGGCUGGGACGUCGCCUUCUACGUCUUCGGCUUCUUCAAGGGCGUCCUGCUCUUCACCGUCAUCGUGCUCAUCGGCACCGGCUGGUCCUUUCUCAAGCCCUACCUCCAGGAGCGGGAGAAGAACGUGCUGAUGAUAGUGAUCCCGCUGCAAGUGAUCGAAAACCUGGUGCUGGUGGUGAUCGGGGAGACGGGGCCGACGGGGCGGGACUGGGUGGUGUGGAACCACGUGUUCCUGCUGGUGGACGUCAUCUGCUGCUGCGCCGUCUUCUUCCCCAUCAUCUGGUCCAUCCGGGGCCUGCGCGAGGCCUCCAAGACCGACGGCAAGGCGGCGCGCAACCUCCACAAGCUCACCCUCUUCAAGCGCUUCUACAUCGUCGUCGUCGGCUACCUCUACUUCACCCGGAUCAUCGUCUCCGCCUUCCUCGCCGUGCUCAACUACAAGUACCAGUGGGGCGUCAACGUCGCCGUCGAGGCCGCCAGCUUCGCCUUCUAUGUCUUCGUCUUCUACAACUUCCACCCGGUGGAGAAGAACCCGUACCUGUACGUCGGCGACGACGAGGAGGAGUCUGCCGGUGGACAGCUCGAGAUGGACGAGCGGGCUUUCUAA
Molecule: ribosomal RNA, 1359 nt
Filed under: Triticum aestivum (bread wheat)
Lineage: Eukaryota; Viridiplantae; Streptophyta; Magnoliopsida; Poales; Poaceae
Description: partial small subunit ribosomal RNA
Source: RNAcentral